GGGGGAACUGAAACAUCUAAGUACCCCGAGGAAAAGAAAUCAACCGAGAUUCCCCCAGUAGCGGCGAGCGAACGGGGAGCAGCCCAGAGCCUGAAUCAGUGUGUGUGUUAGUGGAAGCGUCUGGAAAGGCGUGCGAUACAGGGUGACAGCCCCGUACACAAAAAUGCACAUACUGUGAGCUCGAUGAGUAGGGCGGGACACGUGGUAUCCUGUCUGAAUAUGGGGGGACCAUCCUCCAAGGCUAAAUACUCCUGACUGACCGAUAGUGAACCAGUACCGUGAGGGAAAGGCGAAAAGAACCCCGGCGAGGGGAGUGAAAAAGAACCUGAAACCGUGUACGUACAAGCAGUGGGAGCACGCUUAGGCGUGUGACUGCGUACCUUUUGUAUAAUGGGUCAGCGACUUAUAUUCUGUAGCAAGGUUAACCGAAUAGGGGAGCCGAAGGGAAACCGAGUCUUAACUGGGCGUUAAGUUGCAGGGUAUAGACCCGAAACCCGGUGAUCUAGCCAUGGGCAGGUUGAAGGUUGGGUAACACUAACUGGAGGACCGAACCGACUAAUGUUGAAAAAUUAGCGGAUGACUUGUGGCUGGGGGUGAAAGGCCAAUCAAACCGGGAGAUAGCUGGUUCUCCCCGAAAGCUAUUUAGGUAGCGCCUCGUGAAUUCAUCUCCGGGGGUAGAGCACUGUUUCGGCAAGGGGGUCAUCCCGACUUACCAACCCGAUGCAAACUGCGAAUACCGGAGAAUGUUAUCACGGGAGACACACGGCGGGUGCUAACGUCCGUCGUGAAGAGGGAAACAACCCAGACCGCCAGCUAAGGUCCCAAAGUCAUGGUUAAGUGGGAAACGAUGUGGGAAGGCCCAGACAGCCAGGAUGUUGGCUUAGAAGCAGCCAUCAUUUAAAGAAAGCGUAAUAGCUCACUGGUCGAGUCGGCCUGCGCGGAAGAUGUAACGGGGCUAAACCAUGCACCGAAGCUGCGGCAGCGACGCUUAUGCGUUGUUGGGUAGGGGAGCGUUCUGUAAGCCUGUGAAGGUGUGCUGUGAGGUAUGCUGGAGGUAUCAGAAGUGCGAAUGCUGACAUAAGUAACGAUAAAGCGGGUGAAAAGCCCGCUCGCCGGAAGACCAAGGGUUCCUGUCCAACGUUAAUCGGGGCAGGGUGAGUCGACCCCUAAGGCGAGGCCGAAAGGCGUAGUCGAUGGGAAACAGGUUAAUAUUCCUGUACUUGGUGUUACUGCGAAGGGGGGACGGAGAAGGCUAUGUUGGCCGGGCGACGGUUGUCCCGGUUUAAGCGUGUAGGCUGGUUUUCCAGGCAAAUCCGGAAAAUCAAGGCCGAGGCGUGAUGACGAGGCACUACGGUGCUGAAGCAACAAAUGCCCUGCUUCCAGGAAAAGCCUCUAAGCAUCAGGUAACAUCAAAUCGUACCCCAAACCGACACAGGUGGUCAGGUAGAGAAUACCAAGGCGCUUGAGAGAACUCGGGUGAAGGAACUAGGCAAAAUGGUGCCGUAACUUCGGGAGAAGGCACGCUGAUACGUAGGUGAAGCGACUUGCUCGUGGAGCUGAAAUCAGUCGAAGAUACCAGCUGGCUGCAACUGUUUAUUAAAAACACAGCACUGUGCAAACACGAAAGUGGACGUAUACGGUGUGACGCCUGCCCGGUGCCGGAAGGUUAAUUGAUGGGGUUAGCGCAAGCGAAGCUCUUGAUCGAAGCCCCGGUAAACGGCGGCCGUAACUAUAACGGUCCUAAGGUAGCGAAAUUCCUUGUCGGGUAAGUUCCGACCUGCACGAAUGGCGUAAUGAUGGCCAGGCUGUCUCCACCCGAGACUCAGUGAAAUUGAACUCGCUGUGAAGAUGCAGUGUACCCGCGGCAAGACGGAAAGACCCCGUGAACCUUUACUAUAGCUUGACACUGAACAUUGAGCCUUGAUGUGUAGGAUAGGUGGGAGGCUUUGAAGUGUGGACGCCAGUCUGCAUGGAGCCGACCUUGAAAUACCACCCUUUAAUGUUUGAUGUUCUAACGUGGACCCGUGAUCCGGGUUGCGGACAGUGUCUGGUGGGUAGUUUGACUGGGGCGGUCUCCUCCUAAAGAGUAACGGAGGAGCACGAAGGUUGGCUAAUCCUGGUCGGACAUCAGGAGGUUAGUGCAAUGGCAUAAGCCAGCUUGACUGCGAGCGUGACGGCGCGAGCAGGUGCGAAAGCAGGUCAUAGUGAUCCGGUGGUUCUGAAUGGAAGGGCCAUCGCUCAACGGAUAAAAGGUACUCCGGGGAUAACAGGCUGAUACCGCCCAAGAGUUCAUAUCGACGGCGGUGUUUGGCACCUCGAUGUCGGCUCAUCACAUCCUGGGGCUGAAGUAGGUCCCAAGGGUAUGGCUGUUCGCCAUUUAAAGUGGUACGCGAGCUGGGUUUAGAACGUCGUGAGACAGUUCGGUCCCUAUCUGCCGUGGGCGCUGGAGAACUGAGGGGGGCUGCUCCUAGUACGAGAGGACCGGAGUGGACGCAUCACUGGUGUUCGGGUUGUCAUGCCAAUGGCACUGCCCGGUAGCUAAAUGCGGAAGAGAUAAGUGCUGAAAGCAUCUAAGCACGAAACUUGCCCCGAGAUGAGUUCUCCCUGACCCUUUAAGGGUCCUGAAGGAACGUUGAAGACGACGACGUUGAUAGGCCGGGUGUGUAAGCGCAGCGAUGCGUUGAGCUAACCGGUACUAAUGAACCGUGAGGCUUAACCUUACAACGCCGAAG
RNAcentral lists this ribosomal RNA (2732 nucleotides) under Shigella flexneri. Its description in RNAcentral is "partial 23S ribosomal RNA". It matches the Rfam family "Bacterial large subunit ribosomal RNA". The record is from RNAcentral. Lineage: Bacteria; Pseudomonadati; Pseudomonadota; Gammaproteobacteria; Enterobacterales; Enterobacteriaceae. RNAcentral also lists the same sequence under 1 other name.